This 585-nucleotide ribosomal RNA is filed under the name Lodderomyces parapsilosis. RNAcentral describes it as "eukaryotic LSU rRNA". It matches the Rfam family "Eukaryotic large subunit ribosomal RNA", at positions 66 to 670 of the family's 3401-position model. The record is from RNAcentral. Lineage: Eukaryota; Fungi; Ascomycota; Pichiomycetes; Serinales; Debaryomycetaceae.
CAUGCGUCAUGCAUUAGGAGCGGCGAGUGUGCCGGAUUUCCUUUUUAGCUUUUGCGGCUUCUCUCGCGGCUAAGUUGGCAUUUGAAGAAGGUAUCUUUUCCUCCGCUUAUUGAUAUGCAUUCUUGGAACAGAACGUCACAGAGGGUGAGAAUCCCGUGCGAUGAGAUGUCCCAGACCUAUGUAAAGUUCCUUCGAAGAGUCGAGUUGUUUGGGAAUGCAGCUCUAAGUGGGUGGUAAAUUCCAUCUAAAGCUAAAUAUUGGCGAGAGACCGAUAGCGAACAAGUACAGUGAUGGAAAGAUGAAAAGAACUUUGAAAAGAGAGUGAAAAAGUACGUGAAAUUGUUGAAAGGGAAGGGCUUGAGAUCAGACUUGGUAUUUUGUAUGUUACUCUCUCGGGGGUGGCCUCUACAGUUUACCGGGCCAGCAUCAGUUUGAGCGGUAGGAUAAGUGCAAAGAAAUGUGGCACUGCUUCGGUAGUGUGUUAUAGUCUUUGUCGAUACUGCCAGCUUAGACUGAGGACUGCGGCUUCGGCCUAGGAUGUUGGCAUAAUGAUCUUAAGUCGCCCGUCUUGAAACACGGACCGAA